RNAcentral lists this long non-coding RNA (495 nucleotides) under Mytilus galloprovincialis (Mediterranean mussel). The record is from RNAcentral. Lineage: Eukaryota; Metazoa; Mollusca; Bivalvia; Mytilida; Mytilidae.
GCUACGAGAAAAAUCUAAUAUAUUAUUUUUAUGCCCCACCUAGGAUAGUAGAGGGGCAUUAUGUUUUCUGGUCUGUGCCUCCAUUCGUCCGUUCAUUCGUCCGUCUGUGCGUCCGUUCGCUUCAGGUUAAAGUUUUUGUUCAAGGUAGUUUUUGAAGAAGUUGAAGUCCAAUCAACUUGAAACUUAGUACACAUGUUCCCCAUGAUAUGAUCUUUCUAAUUUUAAUGCCAAAUUAUAGUUUUGACCCCAGUUUCGUGGUCCACUGAACAUAGAAAAUGAUAGUACGAAGUUCAGGUUAAAGUUUUUGGUCAAGGUAGUUUUUGAUGAAGUUAAAGUUACAUCUACUUGAAACUUAGUACACAUGUUCCCUAUGAUAUGAUUUUUCUAAUUUUAAUUCCAAAUUAAAGGUUUAACCCCAAUUUUCACGGUCCACUGAACAUAGAAAAUGAUAGUGCGAGUGGGGCAUCUGUGUACUAUGGACACAUUCUUGUUUUU